Molecule: long non-coding RNA, 921 nt
Organism: Quercus lobata
Lineage: Eukaryota; Viridiplantae; Streptophyta; Magnoliopsida; Fagales; Fagaceae
Exons: 5
Source: RefSeq, a predicted model, not a curated record
UGUUGAAAGUACCAUUUGUGUUUGUCUCUCUUUUUCCUCCCUUAUUUAGGCAUUGUUUUUCUUAUACAUUUAAGUGACAGUGGAUGAUUAACAACACUUUUGAUAGUAUCUGGUAACUGUAGAUAUAAUAAGAGGAUACCUACAUAAAACAUUAUCUGCAACAGUGGUGUUCAUAGUCGAAAGUGAUAAAGGUGUUGGAUGACAGUGUGAUUUGCACACAAGCGUGAAAACAACUUGGAUCUUGGGUUGUUGCUGUUGCACUAAAGUGUGAAACAACCUAGGCAUAAUUUGACAACAUGGCCACUAGGUGCUCCUAGAACUCUUUUUGGUCUAAAUUUCUACAUAGAUCUGCCAAUUUGAUGCAAAAGCUUCAACAAAUUAACAAAAAAACAGAUUAGUACUCCAAAGAAUUCGACUCACUCCAUAUUUCAGUCACCCAAUCCUACUAGAUAACAAAGCAAAAAAUUUGAUUUUUUUCAUGUUAUGAAGCAAAGAAUCCCCAUGCACUACUCAUAAUGGGUACAAAAAAAUACUUCCUGAAUGAAGAAGUCGUUGAAGGAAAAAUAUUGAUUGAAGAAGUUGUUGCAUGUGGUGAUUUUAUUGCAACAUAUAUUCAUGGAGUCAUGCUGCUUUGUGAAUCGAAUCCUAAAGGCAUAAGUAACCUUUUGAAAGUUUUGAAUGAUGAACAUGGAAAUCAUAGGCUUCUAAAAUGCCAAAGAAUACUUCGACUACUUGCUGCAAGAACCGCCAUGUAUCAAAGUCCAAACUUUCAAGCUUGCCAAAAAUCUAAAAUGGAACAUUGGAACCGUGAUGAACCGUAUCCUUAUGGUUAUGAAGAAUUUGUGGUUAUGUGCAAGAGAUGCUUGAUCGACCUUGAAAUGUUUAAGUUGGUGAAUAGGUUUAUUUAAGUUUGACAAAAAA